GGGGACCCGCACAAGCGUGGAUGAUGUGGAUUAAUUCGAUGCAACGCGAAGAACCUUACCUACCCUUGACAUGUCCGGAACUUGCCAGAGAUGGCUUGGUGCCCGAAAGGGAAUCGGAACACAGGUGCUGCAUGGCUGUCGUCAGCUCGUGUCGUGAGAUGUUGGGUUAAGUCCCGCAACGAGCGCAACCCUUAUCAUUAGUUGCUACGCAAGGGCACUCUAAUGAGACUGCCGGUGACAAACCGGAGGAAGGUGGGGAUGACGUCAAGUCCUCAUGGCCCUUAUGGGUAGGGCUUCACACGUCAUACAAUGGUUGGUACAGAGGGUUGCCAAGCCGCGAGGCGGAGCCAAUCCCACAAAGCCGAUCGUAGUCCGGAUUGUUCUCUGCAACUCGAGAGCAUGAAGUCGGAAUCGCUAGUAAUCGCAGGUCAGCAUACUGCGGUGAAUACGUUCCCGGGUCUU
This 462-nucleotide ribosomal RNA is filed under the name uncultured Thiobacillus sp. RNAcentral's name for it is "bacterial SSU rRNA". It matches the Rfam family "Bacterial small subunit ribosomal RNA", at positions 915 to 1382 of the family's 1533-position model. Lineage: Bacteria; Pseudomonadati; Pseudomonadota; Betaproteobacteria; Nitrosomonadales; Thiobacillaceae. The record is from RNAcentral.